Molecule: ribosomal RNA, 2305 nt
Filed under: Plega dactylota
Lineage: Eukaryota; Metazoa; Arthropoda; Insecta; Neuroptera; Mantispidae
Description: SSU rRNA
Rfam family: Eukaryotic small subunit ribosomal RNA
Source: RNAcentral
CCAUGCAUGUCUCAGUACAAGCCAAAUUAAGGUGAAACCGCGAAAGGCUCAUUAUAUCAGUUAUGGUUCCUUAGAUCGUACCCACAUUUACUUGGAUAACUGUGGUAAUUCUAGAGCUAAUACAUGCAAACAGAGUUCCAACCAGAGAUGGAAGGAAUGCUUUUAUUAGAUCAAAACCAAUCGGUGUUUUAUAUUUUUAAUAUUUUACAUUUACUUGUAAAUAUUAUAAUAUUGCAUCGUUUUAUUUGGUGACUCUGAAUAACUUUAAGCUGAUCGCACGGUCUAGUACCGGCGACGUAUCUUUCAAAUGUCUGCCUUAUCAACUGUCGAUGGUAGGUUCUGCGCCUACCAUGGUUGUAACGGGUAACGGGGAAUCAGGGUUCGAUUCCGGAGAGGGAGCCUGAGAAACGGCUACCACAUCCAAGGAAGGCAGCAGGCGCGCAAAUUACCCACUCCCGGCACGGGGAGGUAGUGACGAAAAAUAACGAUACGGGACUCAUCCGAGGCCCCGUAAUCGGAAUGAGUACACUUUAAAUCCUUUAACAAGGAUCCAUUGGAGGGCAAGUCUGGUGCCAGCAGCCGCGGUAAUUCCAGCUCCAAUAGCGUAUAUUAAAGUUGUUGCGGUUAAAAAGCUCGUAGUCGAAUCUGUGUCUCACACUGUUGGUUCACCGCUCGCGGUGUUCAACUGGCAUGUUAUGUGAGACGUCCUACCGGUGGGUGGUGUGAAUUAUUGUUAUUGUUUUAUAUAUAAUUUUAUGUUUAUAUUUAUAUUAUAUAUUACAAUAUUGUAAGUGUUAAAAUUUAUUUUUUAAUAACUGCGCUUGUAUAUAUUUCUAUUUAUAUAUUAUGUAUAUUAUAUUGGCAAUUUACAUUAAUAAUUUGCCGUAAGUGUUUUGCCGUGAAGAACGGCGACAGCCCCCAAUUGCAAUCCCGUCGCGGUGCUCUUAACUGAGUGUCGAGGUGGGCCGGUACGUUUACUUUGAACAAAUUAGAGUGCUUAAGGCAGGCUCAAAUUUUGCCUGAAUAUUGUGUGCAUGGAAUAAUGGAAUAGGACCUCGGUUCUAUUUUGUUGGUUUUCGGAACUCCGAGGUAAUGAUUAAUACGGACAGAUGGGGGCAUUCGUAUUGCGACGUUAGAGGUGAAAUUCUUGGAUCGUCGCAAGACGGACAGAAGCGAAAGCAUUUGCCAAAAAUGUUUUGAUUGAUCAAGAACGAAAGUUAGAUGUUCGAAGGCGAUCAGAUACCGCCCUAGUUCUAACCAUAAACGAUGCCAGCUAGCGAUCCGCCGAAGUUCCUCCGAUGACUCGGCGGGCAGCUUCCGGGAAACCAAAGCUUUUGGGUUCCGGGGGAAGUAUGGUUGCAAAGCUGAAACUUAAAGGAAUUGACGGAAGGGCACCACCAGGAGUGGAGCCUGCGGCUUAAUUUGACUCAACACGGGAAACCUCACCAGGCCCGGACACCGGAAGGAUUGACAGAUUGAGAGCUCUUUCUUGAUUCGGUGGGUGGUGGUGCAUGGCCGUUCUUAGUUGGUGGAGCGAUUUGUCUGGUUAAUUCCGAUAACGAACGAGACUCUAGCCUGCUAAAUAGACGUUUCUCCGGCAUCUCAAGGCCCACCGGCUGUUUGUUUUCCGUUAUGUUGUUGGCAUGAUUUAAUAUUUUAAUAUGAUAUAUGUGUAUAUUGAAAAUAUUUUUAUUUUGUUUUGGUAUUUCAGUGUACUUAUACAGGCUAAAUUGUUAUAUAUUUUGUUUUCCGCAUAUAUAUAUGACAAUCUGUAUUUAGUGUACUGGGUCCAUUCAAAUAAAAUAUCGUAGAUAUAUAUGUGUUUAUGUUUUAUGUUUGCAUGUUGACACAUGCGGGCUACAGUUAUUUGGUGUGGUUUUUACUGCCGGCGUACAUUUAAAACUUCUUAGAGGGACAGGCGGCUUCUAGCCGCACGAGAUUGAGCAAUAACAGGUCUGUGAUGCCCUUAGAUGUUCUGGGCCGCACGCGCGCUACACUGAAGGAAUCAGCGUGUCCUCCCUGGCCGAAAGGUCCGGGUAACCCGCUGAACCUCCUUCGUGCUAGGGAUUGGGGCUUGCAAUUGUUCCCCAUGAACGAGGAAUUCCCAGUAAGCGCGAGUCAUAAGCUCGCGUUGAUUACGUCCCUGCCCUUUGUACACACCGCCCGUCGCUACUACCGAUUGAAUGAUUUAGUGAGGUCUUCGGACUGGUACGCGGUAAUGUUUCUGACCUUACCGAUGUUGCUGGGAAGAUGACCAAACUUGAUCAUUUAGAGGAAGUAAAAGUCGUAACAAGGUUUCCGUUAG